RNAcentral lists this ribosomal RNA (314 nucleotides) under uncultured bacterium. RNAcentral describes it as "bacterial SSU rRNA". It matches the Rfam family "Bacterial small subunit ribosomal RNA", at positions 774 to 1079 of the family's 1533-position model. The record is from RNAcentral.
AGUAAAUAGAUACCCGGGUAGCCCACGCCGUAAACGAUGAGUACUAGGUGUAGGAGGUAUCGACUCCUUCUGUGCCGCAGUUAAACACAAUAAGUACUCCGCCUGGGAAGUACGGUCGCAAGAUUAAAACCUCAAAGGAAUUGACGGGGGUCCCGGCACAAGCAGCGGAGCAUGUGGUUUAAAAUUCGAAGCAACGCGAAGAACCUUACCUAGACUUGACAUCUCCUGAAUAGUGUAGAGAUACAUGAAGCCCUUCGGGGUCAGGAAGACAGGUGGUGCAUGGUUGUCGUCAGCUCGUGUCGUGAGAUGUUGGG